AGGAAUGACCACUCUGUACAUGGCCAAAAUCAGACCAAUUUUAUGAUCGUCAUGACACUCCAUCGCCCGACUCCAGGAUGCUCGAUACAUGGCUAGAGGUUCAACCUCGAGGGUUCCCUGCGAUUCGAACACGGGCCAGUGCAAAUUGGUAGGUAUGACAGACAAACACAAAAUUGCCAAGGCACAUGGUUAGAGCUGACCAGGUCUACUAAGCUA
This 216-nucleotide long non-coding RNA is filed under the name Nicotiana benthamiana. RNAcentral describes it as "long non-coding RNA (NBEN_LNC032962)". The record is from RNAcentral. Lineage: Eukaryota; Viridiplantae; Streptophyta; Magnoliopsida; Solanales; Solanaceae.